This 472-nucleotide ribosomal RNA is filed under the name uncultured bacterium. Its description in RNAcentral is "bacterial SSU rRNA". It matches the Rfam family "Bacterial small subunit ribosomal RNA", at positions 355 to 825 of the family's 1533-position model. The record is from RNAcentral.
UGGGGAAUAUUGGACAAUGGGGGCAACCCUGAUCCAGCAAUGCCGCGUGUGUGAAGAAGGCCUGCGGGUUGUAAAGCACUUUCAGUAGAGAAGAAAAGCCUAAGGUUAAUAACCUUGAGUCUUGACGUAACCUACAGAAGAAGCACCGGCUAACUCCGUGCCAGCAGCCGCGGUAAUACGGAGGGUGCAAGCGUUGUUCGGAAUUACUGGGCGUAAAGGGCUCGUAGGCGGCCAACUAAGUCAGACGUGAAAUCCCUCGGCUUAACCGGGGAACUGCGUCUGAUACUGGAUGGCUUGAGGUUGGGAGAGGGAUGCGGAAUUCCAGGUGUAGCGGUGAAAUGCGUAGAUAUCUGGAGGAACACCGGUGGCGAAGGCGACAUCCUGGACCAAUUCUGACGCUGAGGAGCGAAAGCCAGGGGAGCAAACGGGAUUAGAUACCCUAGUAGUCCCUGAGCGGGCUGGCAAGGCGCAU